UGGUGGGGGAAGGGUCCACUAACGUUACUCGUUUUUGCAUUUCACUUUCUGACCGUGGAGAGCGCAACGAUCUAGGGGUAUUUUUUAAAGAUCGCAAGGACUCUGACGGUCACAUUAAGAACUGCAAACACGGGUACUCUUAGCGGAGUCACCCCCACCACCAAAAAUUAGCUGGAGAUGCCAGACCUGUAUGUAAGACCGUGGUUGUCUCUUUUCUACUACUAGGGAAAGCGCAGUCCAUGCUCUGUCUAUGGUACCGACCAGAAACUCAUCCUGAAGGUCCACUGGGCUUUGACUGAGGGCCAGAAAAACAUCGCAUGCUUCGAAGUGCCGGCGCAAAUAACGUAAUGCCAAAUUCAUAAAUGUAGAAAUCGUCCGCACUGCAUUCACCGGUAAUAAUUGUCACACAGUUGUUAGCGUUUUUAACAUUACCAUUACAUUUUUUCUCCAUUUAUACGAAAUGAUAUUCUUGCAACGUUUUCUUUUGAUUAUUUUUUCUUUUUUUUUGUGUAUUUUAAUAUUGGAUAAUGGGUAAAAAAUUUGCAAAUAAGGGAGAGAGGGGGAAAAAAAAGAUCCCACGAAAUUCCACCAUAAUUUUUUUUUUUUUUUUGCUUUGAAAUCUCACCAUCACAGAUCUAUACGUAAGUAUAAGUAAUUUUUAUUACAUACCUACGUAUAAUAUAAUUAUAAAAUGUUAUAGAUGUGUAAGGAAAGUGGAAUAAAAGUUUGUAAAAUUUUC
This 739-nucleotide long non-coding RNA is filed under the name Neodiprion pinetum (white pine sawfly). RNAcentral describes it as "uncharacterized LOC124222822". The record is from RNAcentral. Lineage: Eukaryota; Metazoa; Arthropoda; Insecta; Hymenoptera; Diprionidae.